CCCGGCCGCCACAGGAACCCAUCCAUUCAAGGACCAGCCCAAAGGCUGCCACUUCCGGAAAUCCAUCAGCCCAGCUCCCCUCCACUUCCACAGCAUUUCACAUUCUAUUUCUAAGACUUGCCAUAUUCUUCCUUGCCUCGUGUUUUCACACACAAACAUGCAUUUGUUUAAUUUAUGCAUCAUUAAAAGUUCUCUAGAUUUUGACCCUGUGUCUCUUUUUCUCCUGGUUUGGAGAACUCAGCCCACCACUGUGCCACCCAUCCUGUUCUUUCUCACUUGCUCUCAGACUUGACUCCAUCUCACAGGCCCCAUUUUCUUUAUUUCAGUCUCAACAGAACGUAUCUACAGCCUAAAAAGGUGCCCAGGUGCCCCUAGCCCCAACUCACACUGUCCUUGCUUCUCUUUCCCAGUCAAUGUUAUGAAAAAGCCUUGUAUGAUGUGGCUUUUGUUUUCUCAACCUCCUCACUUCUCAGUGCCUGAAAUCACUAUCUGGUGCCCACAGUGCUCUACGGAAACUGUUCUCUGUCAUUGCCAAGGUGAUCCAACCCCUCUCCUACCUUUUCCUAAUUGUUUCUCCAAUUCAUCCUAAAUCCACCCCCCACCCCCAUGAAUACCUCUUCAAGUGUAGUUCUUAUGAUAUCAUUUCCCUCUCUUGCAGAAAACUUGUGUCUACAAUGUGUAGACAAGUCCCAAAAAAGAAACUGAACAACAGCCAA
This 716-nucleotide long non-coding RNA is filed under the name Homo sapiens (human). RNAcentral describes it as "HSALNT0115525". The record is from RNAcentral. Lineage: Eukaryota; Metazoa; Chordata; Mammalia; Primates; Hominidae.